Molecule: transfer RNA, 74 nt
Filed under: Anguilla anguilla (European eel)
Lineage: Eukaryota; Metazoa; Chordata; Actinopteri; Anguilliformes; Anguillidae
Description: tRNA-OTHER
Source: RNAcentral
GGGAGAAUGGCACGGUGGUUUAGCGCUGUUGCCUUGCAAGAAGUAGGUUCCAGGUUCGAGUCCAGGCCUGCUCG